UCUGAACGAGUUUGGCUUCUCGUUUUUCAUCCAAUAAUUCGAGGUUAGUAUUCAUAGCCUCGAGAUUUGAUUCUUCCGUUGUAUGUCAACAUCUGGCACUAGGUUCCCCGACUUCAACUGGAAUCAAGGCUUCGGAUCCACAUACUAAGGAGAAUGGGGUUGCCAGCAUACUGGACUUCGAUGUUGUUCGAUAUGCCCAAAGGAUCUCGGGUUGAAUUUCUCUCCAUUUUCCCUUGGCAUCGUUUUAUCGUUUCUUUAGAUUCUGAAUGAUAGUUUUGUUCGUUGACUUGGCCUAUCCAUUUCCACUUGGAUGAUAUGGUGUCGAUAAGAUCCUUUUUAUUUUAUGUUCUUCGAGAAAUUUCGUUACCUUGUUGCCGAUGAGCUACUUUCCAUUGUCGCAUAUGAUUUCGGCAGGUAGGGGUGGUAUUCGG
This 431-nucleotide long non-coding RNA is filed under the name Nicotiana benthamiana. Its description in RNAcentral is "long non-coding RNA (NBEN_LNC034806)". Lineage: Eukaryota; Viridiplantae; Streptophyta; Magnoliopsida; Solanales; Solanaceae. The record is from RNAcentral.